Molecule: ribosomal RNA, 501 nt
Filed under: uncultured bacterium
Lineage: Bacteria
Description: partial 16S ribosomal RNA
Rfam family: Bacterial small subunit ribosomal RNA
Source: RNAcentral
AUUGAACGCUGGCGGCAUGCCUUACACAUGCAAGUCGAACGGCAGCACGGGUGCUUGCACCUGGUGGCGAGUGGCGAACGGGUGAGUAAUACAUCGGAACGUACCUUAUCGUGGGGGAUAACGCAGCGAAAGCUGUGCUAAUACCGCAUAAGCCCUGAGGGGGAGAGCGGGGGAUCGAAAGACCUCGCGCGAUUAGAGCGGCCGAUGCCUGAUUAGCUUGUUGGUGGGGUAAAAGCCCACCAAGGGGACGAUCAGUAGCUGGUCUGAGAGGACGAUCAGCCACACUGGGACUGAGACACGGCCCAGACUCCUACGGGAGGCAGCAGUGGGGAAUUUUGGACAAUGGGGGCAACCCUGAUCCAGCAAUGCCGCGUGAGUGAAGAAGGCCUUCGGGUUGUAAAGCUCUUUUGUCAGGGAAGAAACACCGGCUCUAACACAGUCCGGGAAUGACGGUACCUGAAGAAUAAGCACCGGCUAACUACGUGCCAGCCGCCGCAGUAA